This 253-nucleotide ribosomal RNA is filed under the name uncultured microorganism. RNAcentral describes it as "partial 16S ribosomal RNA". It matches the Rfam family "Bacterial small subunit ribosomal RNA", at positions 524 to 776 of the family's 1533-position model. The record is from RNAcentral.
UACGUAGGGUGCGAGCGUUAAUCGGAUUUACUGGGCGUAAAGGGCACGCAGGCGGUCUUGCCAGUCAGGGGUGAAAGCCCGGGGCUCAACCCCGGAACUGCCUCUGAUACUGCAAGACUAGAGACUAGGAGAGGGUGGUGGAAUUCCCAGUGUAGAGGUGAAAUUCGUAGAUAUUGGGAGGAACACCAGAGGCGAAGGCGGCCACCUGGACUAGAUCUGACGCUCAGGUGCGAAAGCGUGGGGAGCAAACAGG